GAUAUAGCGGCGAACGGGUGAGUAACAUGUUGGAACCUGCCCCGGACUCAGGGAUAGCCCACCGAAAGGUGGAUUAAUACCGGAUGGUCCCGCAAGGGUAAAGCUUUUGCGGUCCGGGAGGGGCCUGCACAAUAUCAGCUAGUUGGUAAGGUAAUGGCUUACCAAGGCUUUGACGUUUAGCUGGUCUGAGAGGACUACCAGCCACAAUGGGACUGAGACACGGCCCAUACUCC
Molecule: ribosomal RNA, 233 nt
Filed under: uncultured bacterium
Lineage: Bacteria
Description: partial 16S ribosomal RNA
Rfam family: Bacterial small subunit ribosomal RNA
Source: RNAcentral